Molecule: ribosomal RNA, 458 nt
Filed under: uncultured bacterium
Lineage: Bacteria
Description: partial 16S ribosomal RNA
Rfam family: Bacterial small subunit ribosomal RNA
Source: RNAcentral
CCUACGGGUGGCAGCAGUGAGGAAUAUUGGUCAAUGGGCGAGAGCCUGAACCAGCCAAGUCGCGUGAGGGAGUACUGCCCUAUGGGUUGUAAACCUCUUUUGUCGGGGAGCAAAAGCCGGACGUGUCCGGCUGUGAGAGUACCCGAAGAAAAAGCAUCGGCUAACUCCGUGCCAGCAGCCGCGGUAAUACGGAGGAUGCGAGCGUUAUCCGGAUUUAUUGGGUUUAAAGGGUGCGCAGGCGGAUUUUUAAGUCAGCGGUAAAAUCGUGGGGCUCAACCCCAUCCAGCCGGUGAAACUGGGGAUCUAGAGUGUGCGAGAGGUAUGCGGAAUGCGUGGUGUAGCGGUGAAAUGCAUAGAUAGCACGCAGAACCCCGAUUGCGAAGGCAGCAUACCGGUGCACAACUGACGCUCAGGCACGAAAGCGUGGGUAUCGAACAGGAUUAGAUACCCUUGUAGUC